AGACAACCAAACUCCAUCAAUCAAGAGGAACUUAAUCCAGGGAGGCAUGUAGAAGAGCCUAUUUACAUCAUUAACUUGCCAACUUUGUGUAUAUACAUGUGCAGACACGCAUGCAUAAUAUACCAUAAGGCAGCAUAACUGAUAGUGGACCUUAAGGGUUCUUCUGCUCACUGGGUCAGAAGCAUCCGAUUUCCUGUCAUCGGUUGCGGUUCAGCCAUGUUAAUACUGAAAGUAUAAGAAUAUCAUAAUCCCAGAGUGAUAUAAAGACCUUUCCAAGGAAGAUGAGAUACCCGGAGGCUGUGAAGGAGAAGUCUGAAGGAUUUGAACGCGUUCAAAUGAAAACCUUUGGUUCAGCAAAACACCAGAAACAAAUUCAAAAGAUAAAAUACACUCCGGAGAAGCCCAUUCUCUCAACGCAUCUGACAGUUCACAAAGAGCAACUGCAGUCCAACUUAAAAAAUAAAGAAAAUGGUAGGAAAAUGGGCAACAUGCACUGAGGCAAUAUAUAAGAAGAAGGAAUGCGCAAUUAAUCAACAAAAGCCUGCUCUUUCCUAACGAGUGAAGAUACAAGCUUAGUAAAUAUUAAAAUUUAUUGAAGAUAAAAAUGGACACUUCCGGCCAUAUAUAAAAGCAUUGUUGGUAAGAGAGUGGGGUAAUUGACAUGCUCCUGGGAAAUAAUACGCAUUCAGACAACCUCUAAUGAGUGAAUCCACUGGGGGUAUCCACUAGGAAUAGAAAACGACCACCAAUGCCCAAGUUUGUGGUCCAGAAUUUGAGCAGCGAUCUAACAAAGUAGAGUCUCCCCCUGUGUCAUGGGCCCCACUUCUUAAGCAAAGAAGAAUGCCUCAUUUUGGUAACUCACCCAAAUAAACAGAAAUUUUUUUUGAUAAUCUUAUCGCAUUUAUUUGGUUAAGUCUGAGGCAGAAUAUUUUUCUCCUUUGUAUCUUUGUUUUGUUUUGUUUUAAUCCUUGAAGUUUAUUACCAAACUACAUCUUGGUGUUUCUUCAGGAUGUGAACAGGCCUUUCUAUUCUCAAUUAAGUGUUUCUUUCCUUUAAUUCAGGAAUCUUCUAAUCAUGUAUUUUAAUUUCUUUUUCUGUCAUCCCUCCCCACGCCAUAAGCUACCAGUCACUAUACAUGUUGGAGCUCUCUUUAUUGUGCCAUAGAUCUCUGAUGUCAUGUCUUUAGUCAUUAUUUUGUGUCAGAAAUUUUUGUUCUUCCGGGGACAUCUGGCAAUAUCUAGAGACAUGCUACUGGCACCUAUAGAAAUGCUAGUGACUUAUUAUGGGUAGAGGCUAAAGAUGCUGCUAAAUAUCCUACAAUGCCCAGGACAGCCACUGCCACAACAAAGAAUUAUGCAGUCCACAAUGUCCAUAGUGCUAAGGAGAAGAAACCCUGUCCUAGGGUCAAGGUUGGAUGCUGACAAGACUAAUUUCAAGUGAUUUCAAACGAUUGUGGGGAAAAUACCCAGAAGUUGACAGGAGCAAUAUGUAGAUAUUUCCUUCUGUAAAUUAUAUUUCCCUAAUGCUAAUGCUGGAGCAUUUGGAAACACGUGUAUAAAUAUUUGAAGCACAAAACCAGAGAGAUGCUCUUAUGUAUUUAGCUUCUAGUUUUAAAUAAUAGAUACUACAAUAAACCUUGAUUAAACCUUGAUUAUCUG
This 1658-nucleotide long non-coding RNA is filed under the name Homo sapiens (human). Its description in RNAcentral is "long independently transcribed non-coding RNA 919 (LINC00919)". The record is from RNAcentral. Lineage: Eukaryota; Metazoa; Chordata; Mammalia; Primates; Hominidae.